This 76-nucleotide transfer RNA is filed under the name Acidianus brierleyi. Its description in RNAcentral is "tRNA-Asp". It matches the Rfam family "tRNA". Rfam says of the family: Transfer RNA (tRNA) molecules are approximately 80 nucleotides in length. Lineage: Archaea; Thermoproteati; Thermoproteota; Thermoprotei; Sulfolobales; Sulfolobaceae. The record is from RNAcentral.
GCUGGGGUGGCCGAGCGGUCUAAGGCGGCACUGCCCAUCGACCCGUUAGUCACGGGUUCGAAUCCCGUCCCCAGCU